GGCAAUAAACAUCAACCCACUACCAAAGAGUAUUUCCUCGAAAGUGAUGGAUGCCUUGGAUAAUCGACCCAUCUUUAUAAGACUAAAGGGGCUGGAAUUAAUGAGAGGUUCUUCGGCCAAAGCUCGUGUACUCUACGCUCCAGUGGAAAGAUUUUACAAGUUCUAAUGUUUUCUUAUAAAUGUUGUAUGUUUGGAAUGAUUUUUGAGAAGUG
Long non-coding RNA from Pistacia vera, 212 nucleotides. RefSeq lists it as uncharacterized. The record is from RefSeq and is a predicted model, not a curated record. The transcript is spliced from 3 exons. NCBI's taxonomy places the organism in Eukaryota, Viridiplantae, Streptophyta, Magnoliopsida, Sapindales, Anacardiaceae.